CCUACGGGUGGCAGCAGUGAGGAAUAUUGGUCAAUGGACGGAAGUCUGAACCAGCCAUGCCGCGUGCAGGAAGACGGCUCUAUGAGUUGUAAACUGCUUUUGUACAAGGGUAAACAUGAAUACGUGUAUUCAGCUGAAAGUACUGUACGAAUAAGGAUCGGCUAACUCCGUGCCAGCAGCCGCGGUAAUACGGAGGAUCCAAGCGUUAUCCGGAUUUAUUGGGUUUAAAGGGUGCGUAGGCGGAAUGCCAAGUCAGCGGUAAAAUCGCGGGGCUCAACCUCGCUCCGCCGUUGAAACUGGCGUUCUCGAGUGGGAGAGAAGUAUGCGGAAUGCGUGGUGUAGCGGUGAAAUGCAUAGAUAUCAGGAGGAACACCGGUGGCGAAGGCGGCCUGCUGGACUGCAACUGACGUUGAGGCCCGAAAGCGUGGGGAGCAAACAGGAUUAGAUACCCCUGUAGUC
RNAcentral lists this ribosomal RNA (459 nucleotides) under uncultured bacterium. Its description in RNAcentral is "partial 16S ribosomal RNA". It matches the Rfam family "Bacterial small subunit ribosomal RNA", at positions 338 to 795 of the family's 1533-position model. The record is from RNAcentral.